Molecule: ribosomal RNA, 429 nt
Filed under: Pseudomonadota bacterium
Lineage: Bacteria; Pseudomonadati; Pseudomonadota
Description: Proteobacteria bacterium partial 16S ribosomal RNA
Rfam family: Bacterial small subunit ribosomal RNA
Source: RNAcentral
UGGGGAAUAUUGGACAAUGGGCGAAAGCCUGAUCCAGCCAUGCCGCGUGUGUGAAGAAGGUCUUCGGAUUGUAAAGCACUUUAAGUUGGGAGGAAGGGCAGUAAGCGAAUACUUUGCUGUUUUGACGUUACCGACAGAAUAAGCACCGGCUAACUCUGUGCCAGCAGCCGCGGUAAUACAGAGGGUGCAAGCGUUAAUCGGAAUUACUGGGCGUAAAGCGCGCGUAGGUGGUUCGUUAAGUUGAAUGUGAAAGCCCCGGGCUCAACCUGGGAACUGCAUCCAAAACUGGCGAGCUAGAGUAGGGCAGAGGGUGGUGGAAUUUCCUGUGUAGCGGUGAAAUGCGUAGAUAUAGGAAGGAACACCAGUGGCGAAGGCGACCACCUGGGCUCAUACUGACACUGGGGUGCGAAAGCGUGGGGAGCAAACAGG